GCUUCCCCAAAACUUGCAGUGUUGUCUCUCUGUAGGUUUAUGUCUCUGAAAAUUCCUUCCAUCAUUUGGCUGAAGUAUGGGGAAGAAGCCACUGUGGACAGAGUAUCCACCCACCACCUGCACUGGAAGCCGCUGCAUUUCGAACUUGUAUUAUGUGGGCAGUUUCUAAAAUUGGCGUGGCACAGCAUUUGCUAUAGCUUCUCAAAUAUUUUUUGAAAAAUGAAUGACUCCCUCCACC
Molecule: long non-coding RNA, 238 nt
Filed under: Fukomys damarensis (Damara mole-rat)
Lineage: Eukaryota; Metazoa; Chordata; Mammalia; Rodentia; Bathyergidae
Description: lncRNA (ENSFDAG00000028575.1)
Source: RNAcentral